Molecule: long non-coding RNA, 1818 nt
Organism: Vidua macroura (Pin-tailed whydah)
Lineage: Eukaryota; Metazoa; Chordata; Aves; Passeriformes; Viduidae
Exons: 5
Source: RefSeq, a predicted model, not a curated record
GAUAUCCAGUUUCUGCACACGUUUGUGAUCCCAGAGCCUUCUCUGGCAGCUGCCUCAGGAAGAUAAAGCUGAGACUGAAAGCAUCCAGAUACAGAAAAUGGUCCAGCUGAUAAACUAGAAACAGGAGGUGUGUGAUCAAUCUCUCUCCACUUUGCCAGCUCCUAUGUUUGAAGUACAAGUGUCAAGGGUGACUCAAACCACCUUUUUAUCUCAGAGGAAACAAUAUAAUACUAAAGAAAUGGCCUUUGAGAGAAAAACGGUACUCCUGGUUGAGAGUUUACAUGAAGGAACUCCACUCAGAAGUUCUGUUUGAAGUUCCCAAGAGCAAAGAAUGCAAGACUUUCUAUGGCAGUCACAGGAGGGAAGAAUAGCUCCUCAAGCAGACACUGUAUGACAGCAGACGGUCUCAUAGUGCCACAACAACAGGACAUUUCCCCAAGGAGCAAUGCUUCAUCACAGCAUAGAGGAGACCUAGAGGUACCUCCAUUAUCUUAUAUUUUCUCUCUCAGUCUCCUUCCUUCCCAAAUAAAAGAGAAAAACCCUCAAAGCACCAAAUUUUGUUACUUUAGUUUCAAACUUUACUUUUUCUGUAGGAGGAAGUGAUCAGUUUUGUGAUCCUAGAUCCAUGUUCUAGCUGCAAUUAAUUUUUUCUUCUUUCUAUAUAGCUUAUGAUCCAUAUAUUCCAUACUGUUCUAGUCCACUUAAUUUUUUUCUCAGGAAAUUUAAAAAAAGAAAAGUUGAUGAUCAGUACUCAUUUCUCUUUUCACUGUUCUCUAUUACCAGUACAACACUGCUAUUUAAAGCAAAGAUGUAGGUGUUAGUAUGUAGUGGUGUUAAACAUAAAAUACACAUCUUGUGCAUCCUGAUCAUUGUUUUUUUGCCCCAUGAAUACCCUUAGCAGUCCCUAUGAAUGGUACAAUUUUAAAGAAAAUCAUCAUCUCACUGUACCUUUACUUUUGACUACAUUUUUUCUCCUUGUGAAUGCAUUUGGAGUUCUUGCAGAGUUAACAGGAUAUUACCAGCAGUUUUUCUGCAGCAUCCUUCAUUGGUGUCUCAGCAGUUACUUUAAACAUUUUGAAGAAAAAAUGUCAACAUGUGAAUACCAGUUAAUUUACAAGUCCACUGGGAUUCAUAGAUAAAAAACAGAAAGUAAAGCACCAAACCAACACUUUCAAAUCAGAUUGCCAAAAGCCACGUAAAAUCAGACCGAUGUUCUCCUGCUGUUUACCACAGAGAAUAGGAGUUUAUUCCUUUAAUAAAAUGGAGAUGGAGUUGGACAUUGCUGAAGCUGAGACUAGAGAAUCUUAAUUCACUAUAUAAAUUGUGGUGCAAUUUUUAAAGAUUUUGAGCACCUGAGGCUUUUUUUACAUUUUAGGAUGGCUGAGAACUCCACAGAAGGUUGCCUGUUCUCAGGCACAGAUACAACAAUUUCCCAGCUCAGCAACAUGGAAGAAACAUAUGCCAAUAUGUGUAAAGAUUCUUGAGCAGACAUUUGCAGCCGCCCUCUUUGCAGCUGAUGAUGUGUCCAAACUUUGUACCAUUUCAUAAGAACUUUAAUAUUUUGAAAAAGCCUCACAUUCACACAGUAGUUCAGAAAGAUUAAUAUUAAAUGUAGUUAGGGAAAGAGAAUCUCUGGUGGAAUCUCCAAUUUACUCACACAACCUACCCAUCCUCCUGCUCUCAGGGUUUAGUUUCUCAGUGUUUGGCCACUGCCACAUAUAGUGGUUUGAAAAUAGUCGUAAUACUAUUUCCCCUGAGCCCAGUUUUUGAGAAAGAUGUACUUCUAUUUAAAGCAACAUCAUGUUUAAUUUCAUGACA